This 223-nucleotide ribosomal RNA is filed under the name uncultured bacterium. RNAcentral's name for it is "partial 16S ribosomal RNA". It matches the Rfam family "Bacterial small subunit ribosomal RNA", at positions 116 to 334 of the family's 1533-position model. The record is from RNAcentral.
CGUAGGUAACCUGCCUGGUAGCGGGGGAUAACUAUUGGAAACGAUAGCUAAUACCGCAUAACAGUCGACAUUGCAUGAUGUUGAUUUGAAAGGGGCAAUUGCUCCACUACCAGAUGGACCUGCGUUGUAUUAGCUAGUUGGUGAGGUAACGGCUCACCAGGGCGACGAUACAUAGCCGACCUGAGAGGGUGAUCGGCCACACUGGGACUGAGACACGGCCCAG